UAGGGAAUCUUCCACAGUGGGCGCAAGCCUGAUGGAGCAACACCGCGUGAGUGAAGAAGGGUUUCGGCUCGUAAAGCUCUGUUGUUAAAGAAGAACACGUAUGAGAGUAACUGUUCAUACGUUGACGGUAUUUAACCAGAAAGUCACGGCUAACUACGUGCCAG
RNAcentral lists this ribosomal RNA (164 nucleotides) under uncultured bacterium. RNAcentral describes it as "partial 16S ribosomal RNA". It matches the Rfam family "Bacterial small subunit ribosomal RNA", at positions 355 to 511 of the family's 1533-position model. The record is from RNAcentral.